CACUCCUGCGGGAGGCAGCAGUGGGGAAUCUUGCGCAAUGGGCGAAAGCCUGACGCAGCCAUGCCGCGUGAAUGAUGAAGGUCUUAGGAUUGUAAAAUUCUUUCACCGGGGACGAUAAUGACGGUACCCGGAGAAGAAGCCCCGGCUAACUUCGUGCCAGCAGCCGCGGUAAUACGAAGGGGGCUAGCGUUGCUCGGAAUUACUGGGCGUAAAGGGAGCGUAGGCGGACAUUUAAGUCAGGGGUGAAAUCCCGGGGCUCAACCUCGGAAUUGCCUUUGAUACUGGGUGUCUUGAGUAUGAGAGAGGUGUGUGGAACUCCGAGUGUAGAGGUGAAAUUCGUAGAUAUUCGGAAGAACACCAGUGGCGAAGGCGACACACUGGCUCAUUACUGACGCUGAGGCUCGAAAGCGUGGGGAGCAAACAGGAUUAGAAACCCCUGUAGUCCCAUGAU
Molecule: ribosomal RNA, 451 nt
Filed under: uncultured organism
Description: partial 16S ribosomal RNA
Rfam family: Bacterial small subunit ribosomal RNA
Source: RNAcentral